This 742-nucleotide ribosomal RNA is filed under the name Streptomyces tendae. RNAcentral's name for it is "bacterial SSU rRNA". It matches the Rfam family "Bacterial small subunit ribosomal RNA", at positions 44 to 803 of the family's 1533-position model. The record is from RNAcentral. Lineage: Bacteria; Bacillati; Actinomycetota; Actinomycetes; Kitasatosporales; Streptomycetaceae.
GUGCUUAACACAUGCAAGUCGAACGAUGAACCACUUCGGUGGGGAUUAGUGGCGAACGGGUGAGUAACACGUGGGCAAUCUGCCCUGCACUCUGGGACAAGCCCUGGAAACGGGGUCUAAUACCGGAUAUGACCCUCGCAGGCAUCUGUGAGGGUGUAAAGCUCCGGCGGUGCAGGAUGAGCCCGCGGCCUAUCAGCUUGUUGGUGAGGUAACGGCUCACCAAGGCGACGACGGGUAGCCGGCCUGAGAGGGCGACCGGCCACACUGGGACUGAGACACGGCCCAGACUCCUACGGGAGGCAGCAGUGGGGAAUAUUGCACAAUGGGCGAAAGCCUGAUGCAGCGACGCCGCGUGAGGGAUGACGGCCUUCGGGUUGUAAACCUCUUUCAGCAGGGAAGAAGCGAAAGUGACGGUACCUGCAGAAGAAGCGCCGGCUAACUACGUGCCAGCAGCCGCGGUAAUACGUAGGGCGCAAGCGUUGUCCGGAAUUAUUGGGCGUAAAGAGCUCGUAGGCGGCUUGUCGCGUCGGUUGUGAAAGCCCGGGGCUUAACCCCGGGUCUGCAGUCGAUACGGGCAGGCUAGAGUUCGGUAGGGGAGAUCGGAAUUCCUGGUGUAGCGGUGAAAUGCGCAGAUAUCAGGAGGAACACCGGUGGCGAAGGCGGAUCUCUGGGCCGAUACUGACGCUGAGGAGCGAAAGCGUGGGGAGCGAACAGGAUUAGAUACCCUGGUAGUCCACGCCGU